Mycena crocata is the source of this 90-nucleotide non-coding RNA. NCBI's taxonomy places the organism in Eukaryota, Fungi, Basidiomycota, Agaricomycetes, Agaricales, Mycenaceae. The record is from the annotation of a GenBank genome assembly.
AGCAGUAUGGUGUAUCACAGCACACAGGGUAUCCAUAAAAUGGAUUUAUCUGCGUCCCCUGAGGUCCUUGUUCAAACCAAGGUACUGCUA